ACGCUCGACACCUACGGGAGCAGCAGUGGGGAAUAUUGCACAAUGGGGGAAACCCUGAUGCAGCGAUGCCGCGUGAAGGAAGAAGUAUCUCGGUAUGUAAACUUCUAUCAGCAGGGAAGAAAAUGACGGUACCUGACUAAGAAGCCCCGGCUAACUACGUGCCAGCAGCCACGGUAAUCUGAGCGGGCUGGCAAGGC
Molecule: ribosomal RNA, 197 nt
Filed under: uncultured bacterium
Lineage: Bacteria
Description: partial 16S ribosomal RNA
Rfam family: Bacterial small subunit ribosomal RNA
Source: RNAcentral